AUAAAAAUAAAUCCAGAUAUAAGUCGUUAUGCUUAUAUCUCUUACAAAAUGAUAAAGCCAAACAAUUUUACAAAUUAAAUAUAAACUAUAAAAACAAUAAAACUCAAAUCAACAAUAUCAAUUUUGUUUGACAAAUAACGUUGUUUUGCUGAAAUUGCUUUUCAGGAUGUGAAUAAUAGUUUCUUAGACAUAGGUUCUUCCAAAUAGUCAUAAAAUCUUCAAUUUCAAACUAUACUGAGGUUUUUAUGUGUAGAGUAGUGAUAUCAUUUCCUAUUUUCUUGGUGUGAAUUGUGUCAUUGUGUCCGCUCUUUUAUUUCCCCCCAUUAGCUUUUGACAAAGUAGUAACAUUGCCACUUCAAUCAUAUAAUAAACACAAAUGUAGCCACUCAAAUACAGUGAUAUUUGGUUUUAGGCAUCUAGAUGAUCCAACAUACACCCAAAAUAUUUUUUUUAGGAUCUGAUUAUUGAAUAAUUAAGGAUCUCCAAGAAUAUGCUUGGAAAAACUCAGACAGCCUCAGAACUCAGUAGAGGAAUACUAAAUCAGUUAUAAACAAAAUACAAAAAAAAAAACUUUAAAAAACUACCACCUAUGAGACUAAAUACAUGUCAGUAGACAAUGUCACAAAAAGUAAAACAUAUGAAAUGUAAAAACAAAACAGAAAAUUCUCCAAAGUUAGAGCAUCAAGACAAAAGGGAAAUUUAGGGAAAAAAAUGUAUGUAAGACCAAGCAAACAGAAUUUACAAAAAAUGAAAACUAUGAAAUAGCAGUUACAAUGCAGGUCUUUUAGUGUUUUUUCCUUUGUAGAAAGAAAAAAAGGCAGUGUUCAUUUCAAAGAAUAAUCCUGGUCGGAGGAUGGAGUCAAAUUGAUGGUGGGCUGGCGUUAGGACCGAAUACAGAAUAACUAGAGCUCAAGCAGAAGCAUCCUACUUCCAGCCAGUUCAGAAUCCCAAACAAAUUAAAGUGGGAAGAAAAGGUCAAUUAUGUUCAAGUUUCUUUUUUGGAGAUUUAGUUUUGUUUGGCAGCCAAGUCUUUAUACUUUGAUGUGAAUUGAUGUGUAUCGAAACUUGAGAUGGUUUUCAUUCUUUUGUUUUACAUUCUUAUUCUUAGCAUCAUGAAGCAGAAAGUUCUCCCAAUUCUUGCCAGCAGAGCAGGAGCUACCUUGCAGGAGACAAAGAAGGGCCUGAACUGUGUGAUGGUCCUGCAGAAAGGAACACGCCAAGAGCAGGUAUCAAAAUAAUCCAGGCACAGACGUUGAUCUGCAGUUUUGAUGGUUAAUUAGUGGAUCGGGUAUCAACCAGAAGCGUGUGAUUAUUAUGAUAUUUGAAAGGAAGUCACUUGCUAUUUUCCUCCCCUAUUAUUUAAGCUACAGCACGUGGCUGUAAUGACUGCAAUGUGGAGAGAGCUACAUUUCUAAGCGUAAUAAAUAGGAAUCAGAUGCAAUUAUUCCUGAUGCUUCCCAGAGUUGUGCUGAGAGCAUGUGUUUAGCUGGUGAUGCGCUGCUGAGUGCUUUUUCUCUGGGGCACUAGAGCUUC
This 1533-nucleotide long non-coding RNA is filed under the name Equus asinus (donkey). RNAcentral describes it as "lncRNA (ENSEASG00005034912.1)". Lineage: Eukaryota; Metazoa; Chordata; Mammalia; Perissodactyla; Equidae. The record is from RNAcentral.